AGGAGUUUAGGUUAAUCUAGACCAAGAGCCUUCAAAGCCCUAAGCAAGUAUAAUAUACUUAACCCCUG
This 68-nucleotide transfer RNA is filed under the name Muntiacus sp. SRI1. Its description in RNAcentral is "tRNA-Trp". RNAcentral also lists the same sequence under 1 other name. The record is from RNAcentral. Lineage: Eukaryota; Metazoa; Chordata; Mammalia; Artiodactyla; Cervidae.